This 254-nucleotide ribosomal RNA is filed under the name uncultured bacterium. RNAcentral describes it as "partial 16S ribosomal RNA". It matches the Rfam family "Bacterial small subunit ribosomal RNA", at positions 524 to 776 of the family's 1533-position model. The record is from RNAcentral.
UACGUAGGGUGCGAGCGUUAAUCGGAAUUACUGGGCGUAAAGCGUGCGCAGGCGGCUUUGCAAGACAGAUGUGAAAUCCCCGGGCUCAACCUGGGAACUGCAUUUGUGACUGCAUGGCUAGAGUGCGGGAGAGGGGGAUGGAAUUCCAGGUGUAGCGGUGAAAUGCGUAGAUAUCUGGAGGAACACCGGUGGCGAAGGCGGCAUCCUGGGCCAACACUGGCGCUGAGUGAGCGAAAGCCAGGGGAGCAAACGGG